GAUCCUGGCUCAGGACGAACGCUGGCGGCGCGCCUAACACAUGCAAGUCGAACGGAGUUUACAGGCAGAAGUUUUCGGAUGGAAGCUUGUAAACUUAGUGGCGGACGGGUGAGUAACACGUGAGCAACCUGCCUAUCAGAGGGGGAUAACGAUUGGAAACGAUCGCUAAUACCGCAUGACAUAGCGGAACCGCAUGGUUCUGUUAUCAAAGAUUUUAUCGCCGAUAGAUGGGCUCGCGUCCG
Molecule: ribosomal RNA, 242 nt
Filed under: uncultured bacterium
Lineage: Bacteria
Description: partial 16S ribosomal RNA
Rfam family: Bacterial small subunit ribosomal RNA
Source: RNAcentral